UACGUAGGGUGCAAGCGUUGUCCGGAAUUAUUGGGCGUAAAGGGCUCGUAGGCGGUGUGUCACGUCGGCCGUGAAAACCUGCAGCUUAACUGUGGGCGUGCGGUCGAUACGGGCAUCACUGGAGUUCGGCAGGGGAGACUGGAAUUCCUGGUGUAGCGGUGAAAUGCGCAGAUAUCAGGAGGAACACCGGUGGCGAAGGCGGGUCUCUGGGCCGAUACUGACGCUGAGGAGCGAAAGCGUGGGGAGCAAACAGG
RNAcentral lists this ribosomal RNA (254 nucleotides) under uncultured bacterium. RNAcentral's name for it is "partial 16S ribosomal RNA". It matches the Rfam family "Bacterial small subunit ribosomal RNA", at positions 524 to 776 of the family's 1533-position model. The record is from RNAcentral.